This 497-nucleotide ribosomal RNA is filed under the name uncultured bacterium. RNAcentral's name for it is "partial 16S ribosomal RNA". It matches the Rfam family "Bacterial small subunit ribosomal RNA", at positions 28 to 507 of the family's 1533-position model. The record is from RNAcentral.
GAUGAACGCUGGCGGCGUGCCUAAUACAUGCAAGUCGAGCGAACAGAUGAGGAGCUUGCUCCUCUGACGUUAGCGGCGGACGGGUGAGUAACACGUGGAUAACCUACCUAUAAGACUGGGAUAACUUCGGGAAACCGGAGCUAAUACCGGAUAAUAUAUUGAACCGCAUGGUUCAAUAGUGAAAGACGGUUUUGCUGUCACUUAUAGAUGUAUCCGCGCCGCAUUAGCUAGUUGGUAAGGUAACGGCUUACCAAGGCAACGAUGCGUAGCCGACCUGAGAGGGUGAUCGGCCACACUGGAACUGAGACACGGUCCAGACUCCUACGGGAGGCAGCAGUAGGGAAUCUUCCGCAAUGGGCGAAAGCCUGACGGAGAAACGCCGCGUGAGUGAUGAAGGUCUUCGGAUCGUAAAACUCUGUUAUUAGGGAAGAACAAAUGUGUAAGUAACUAUGCACGUCUUGACGGUACCUAAUCAGAAAGCCACGGCUAACUACGUG